Molecule: ribosomal RNA, 500 nt
Filed under: uncultured bacterium
Lineage: Bacteria
Description: partial 16S ribosomal RNA
Rfam family: Bacterial small subunit ribosomal RNA
Source: RNAcentral
AUUGAACGCUGGCGGCAUGCCUUACACAUGCAAGUCGAACGGCAGCACGGGUGCUUGCACCUGGUGGCGAGUGGCGAACGGGUGAGUAUACAUCGGAACGUACCUUAUCGUGGGGGAUAACGCAGCGAAAGCUGUGCUAAUACCGCAUACGCCCUGAGGGGGAAAGCGGGGGAUCGCAAGACCUCGCGCGAUUAGAGCGGCCGAUGCCUGAUUAGCUUGUUGGUGGGGUAAAAGCCCACCAAGACGACGAUCAGUAGCUGGUCUGAGAGGACGAUCAGCCACACUGGGACUGAAACACGGCCCAGACUCCUACGGGAGGCAGCAGUGGGGAAUUUUGGACAAUGGGGGCAACCCUGAUCCAGCAAUGCCGCGUGAGUGAAGAAGGCCUUCGGGUUGUAAAGCUCUUUUGUCAGGGAAGAAACACCGGCUCUAACACAGUCCGGGAAUGACGGUACCUGAAGAAUAAGCACCGGCUAACUACGUGCCAGCCGCCGCCGUAA